GGUCUAAUAGUGUAGUGGUUAGCACAUGGGAUUUUGAUUGACACAUUAUAUCGUAUAUCACAAAUUAUCUUCCCAUAACCCAGGUUCGAAUCCUGGUUAGACCU
This is a non-coding RNA of Dendrothele bispora CBS 962.96, 104 nucleotides long. NCBI's taxonomy places the organism in Eukaryota, Fungi, Basidiomycota, Agaricomycetes, Agaricales. The record is from the annotation of a GenBank genome assembly.